AACGAACGCUGGCGGCAGGCCUAACACAUGCAAGUCGAGCGCCCCGCAAGGGGAGCGGCGGACGGGUGAGUAACGCGUGGGAACGUACCCUUUGCUACGGAAUAGCCUCGGGAAACUGGGAGUAAUACCGUAUGUGCUCUUCGGAGGAAAGAUUUAUCGGCAAAGGAUCGGCCCGCGUUGGAUUAGGUAGUUGGUGGGGCAAUCGCCUACCAAGCCGACGAUCCAUAGCUGGUUUGAGAGGAUGAUCAGCCACACUGGGACUGAGACACGGCCCCGACUCCUACGGGAGGCAGAGGUGGGGAUGCUUAGACAAUGGGCGCAAGCCUGAUCGAGCCAUGCCGCGUGAGCGAUGAAGGCCUUAGGGUUGUAAAGCUCUUUCAGUGGGGAAGAUAAUGACUGUACCCACAGAAGAAGCCCCGGCUAACUCCGUGCCAGCCGCCGCCGUAA
This 447-nucleotide ribosomal RNA is filed under the name uncultured bacterium. RNAcentral describes it as "partial 16S ribosomal RNA". It matches the Rfam family "Bacterial small subunit ribosomal RNA", at positions 29 to 523 of the family's 1533-position model. The record is from RNAcentral.